This 532-nucleotide ribosomal RNA is filed under the name uncultured bacterium. Its description in RNAcentral is "bacterial SSU rRNA". It matches the Rfam family "Bacterial small subunit ribosomal RNA", at positions 771 to 1294 of the family's 1533-position model. The record is from RNAcentral.
ACCCAAUAGAUACCCCGGUAGUCCACGCCCUAAACGAUGUGCACUAGACUGGAGCGGCUCUGACGUCGUUCUGGUCGUAGAGAAAUUGUUAAGUGCACCGCCUGGGUAGUACGGUCGCAAGGCUAAAACUCAAAGGAAUUGACGGGGGCUCACACAAGCGGUGGAGCAUGUUGCUUAAUUCGAAGCAACGCGAAGAACCUUACCUGGGUUUGACAUGUACGGAUUAACCGGUGGAAACACUGGCCACACUCGCAAGAGUGGAACGUACACAGGUGCUGCAUGGCUGUCGUCAGCUCGUGCUGUGAAGUGUCGGGUUAAGUCCCUUAACGAGCGCAACCCUUGUCGCUAGUUGCUAACAGGUAAUGCUGAGGACUCUAGCGAGACUGCCGGUGUCAAACCGGAGGAAGGCGGGGAUGACGUCAAGUCCUCAUGGCCCUUACAUCCAGGGUUGCAAACGUGCUACAAUGGUGCAUACAGAGCGACGCAAGACCGCAAGGUGGAGCAAAUCGCAAAAAAACUGCACCCCGAGUUC